CGAUGACGCAUGACAACAUCGUUGCCAUCACACCUUUAACCUUAGUAGGCAAGGAAGCUCAAAUAUAGUGGAAUAUAGUUGCACAUUGCUCAUCAUCCACGACCUUCUGUAUUCUGCUCGUCUACAACCACAACCGUGGUGCUACUCCUCCUCAGAGGCUCAAUCCAAUGUCAAGAUCCCCAUCUGCUCCAAGAUGCGCAACAUCGGGCCUGUCGUGGUAUGCCGGGGGUUUGCCUCGACCAAAAGGACCACACCAUGGACAUGCUCGUGGUAUGCCGAUGGCCGCCCCGCAACCUCGCCGCCACCAGUCGGCGUUCCUCCGCAGCAAGCCUCCUGCCCCCGCCAAUGGGAAGCCCGCCGCCGCCUCCUCCAAGCCCAAGUCGCCCGCCUCGCCCGCCCAGGCGCUGCCGCCUUCGUCCUUGGAGGAGAGGACGGUGAAGCAGCUCGGGCUGACCAAGGCGCUGACGCUCCCGGAGGCCACCGCGGUGUCGGAGGCGUGCAGGAGGAUGGCCGCCAGGCGCGCCGACGCCAAAGGGGUGCUCUCAGGUAUCGUCACGCCCGAGGACAUAUCGGGUGGAGUGAUAGCUGAGGGUCUCAGGCCUGACGCAACCAGUGUGGCAAAGGUGAUGACACACAACCCAGUUUUUGUCAUGUCCAACUCACCGGCCACCGAGGCACUGCAGAAGAUGGUCCAAGAUCUGCUUCUUUUUUUUCUUCAGAUUACAGUUUUGUUGCUGGUUUUACCUUCAGUUGGGUCAUUUGUUGAAUUAGUUUUGUCCAGUGAUCGAUUGGCCAUUUCUGAUAGUGCUGGUUCAGUGUCAUCCUAUGCAUGAUGAGGGAGAACCAAAGCAUCUUAGCAUGUACUCCCUCCGUCCGGAAAUAGAUCUAUCUAUUUCUCCGACAAGUAUUUCCGGACAGAGCAAGUACACAUUAAGCCGGCAGCCUGGUGGGUCAAUGUUACUCCCAUAAUCAAAGAAUCGUAUUCUUUCAGUAACCGAAGCUGCGGGCAACCGCAAAGCUACAAUAUGUCGGGCAUUACCUCUUGGCUAAUAGCCAAAGACAAGAACUGCAAGACGAAUAUUGUAAUUCAAAGUUCAGAAAGACGUUCUCUCAAGAAAUUCCCUACAUGUUUUACGUUUGACAUCUUUUUGUCAUUCUUAUGGAUAUAUAUUGUAUCUUGUCUCCAUGGUGUCCAUUUAGUCAUAUAGCUUUUGUAUACAGGCAAAUUUAGGCAUCUUCCUGUAGUAGAACAUGGUGAGGUCAUUGCCAUGUUGGACAUUACCAAGUUCCUCUGUGAUGCAAUUUCAAGAAUGGAGAAAGGCAGCCGAACAAGGCAGUGCUAUAGCAGCUGCUAUGGAAGGGGUCGAACAGCAGUGGGGAACUGAAUUUGCAGGUCCGCACGCAUUCAUAGAAAAUCUUCGAGAUCACAUGUUCAAGCCUUCCUUGUCAACUAUCAUUACUGAAAAUAGCAGUGUUCCAGCGGUGUCUGCUUCAGAUCUAGUAACUGUAGCUGCCAAAAAGAUGAGAGAGCACCGAGUUAACUCGGUGGUUGUCAUGACAGGGAACAUCUUACAAGGAAUUAUCACUGGCACAAAGUCUGUCCCCAGAGGCGACACUCGUAGAAAAGGUGAUGACGGCAAGCCCUGGCUGUGCUACACUGGACACAUCAAUCCUCGAGGCUCUGCAAUCAAUGCAAGAUAGAAAAUUUCGUCAUAUUCCUGUUGUAGACAAAAGAGGACAGGUUAUCGCCUGUUUGGAUGCUCUACAGUUAACCCACACCGCCAUCUCCAUGGCUGAGGGAGCAUCUGGACCAGACGGCGUGGCAAAUACUAUGAUUCAGAAGUUUUGGGUCUUGCAUCCUGCAGAGUAUGACUUGCAUAGUGAAGAAUCUCGUACAGCAGCAUCAGACAGUGCUGAAGGAAAGCAUACACCCCCUCCCCCUCAUGUUGGAAACGCAUUCUCUUUCAGAUUUGAAGAUAGAAAAGGGCGGAUGCAACGAUUCAGUUGCGUUUCGGAAAGCUUAGACGAGCUUGUGUCUGCUAUUGCAUACAGAUUAGGAACAGAAAACGACAAGGCGAAUGUAAACCUUCUGUACAAUGACGAUGAAGGUGACAGAGUACUUCUGGCUACCGACGCCGACCUGGUUGCAGCAAUUGAACAUGCCAGAUCAGCAGGAUGGAAGGUUCUGAGGCUGCACAUGGACUGACGGGUCAAAGAUCAGUGCAGAUCCCACACCGGCGUCGUCUGUGGAUACCUCAGCAGCAAGGAGAAGCUGGCCGUCCCUCCGGCUAGGUACAGUGGCCAGUGCAGCUGCUAUUGCCGGCGUCGGGGCAAUCGUCUACUUGAGAUGCUCUCGGCAAUGACUUCAAUAUACAUACCUCAGACUCAAAGAGCAUACUUCAACACUGUAUAGAUGUACUACGCAGGAGGAGGAUCACACAAAUCACGGUGGCAAUAAGGCUCUUUUUUUUUGCGGGUGGGCAAUAAGGCUCUUGCCAAGCCUCUACACUGAAUUUUUCUCCAGGGUUUGCAGUCAUUCUAAAUGGACUUCAGAGAGGCUCUUGCAAAGUGACUGUUUGUUGCAACAGAUAAAAAGCAGGCUGAUACAUGUACACAAACAAGAAAAAACAUCCUAGUAUUGGUAUAUAUCACCAAAAAUAUGUUAGGGUCACCCAAUGUUUAUCCCUCCUAUUUGUUUUGAUGAUGUGGGGAGGGAGUGAUCUGGUCAUCAGGGCUAAGGAGUUUUAUAGAAACUAGGUAUGUGCCUGGAAGCUUUUUUUUCUUAAUCUAUAAAGGUUAGGGCUGUCUUAAGGUAGAAGUGGAUGUAAUUCCACCUUAUAUGGCAUGGGGCACACGGGAAUCACCGGACUAGAAUUUUGAUUUUGGC
RNAcentral lists this ribosomal RNA (2887 nucleotides) under Triticum aestivum (bread wheat). RNAcentral describes it as "partial small subunit ribosomal RNA". Lineage: Eukaryota; Viridiplantae; Streptophyta; Magnoliopsida; Poales; Poaceae. The record is from RNAcentral.